ACUCCUACGGGAGGCAGCAGUAGGGAAUCUUCCACAAUGGGCGCAAGCCUGAUGGAGCAACACCGCGUGAGUGAAGAAGGGUUUCGGCUCGUAAAGCUCUGUUGUUAAAGAAGAACACGUAUGAGAGUAACUGUUCAUACGUUGACGGUAUUUAACCAGAAAGUCACGGCUAACUACGUGCCAGCAGCCGCGGUAAUACGUAGGUGGCAAGCGUUAUCCGGAUUUAUUGGGCGUAAAGAGAGUGCAGGCGGUUUUCUAAGUCUGAUGUGAAAGCCUUCGGCUUAACCGGAGAAGUGCAUCGGAAACUGGAUAACUUGAGUGCAGAAGAGGGUAGUGGAACUCCAUGUGUAGCGGUGGAAUGCGUAGAUAUAUGGAAGAACACCAGUGGCGAAGGCGGCUACCUGGUCUGCAACUGACGCUGAGACUCGAAAGCAUGGGUAGCGAACAGGAUUAGAUACCCUGGUAGGAUACC
RNAcentral lists this ribosomal RNA (472 nucleotides) under uncultured bacterium. Its description in RNAcentral is "bacterial SSU rRNA". It matches the Rfam family "Bacterial small subunit ribosomal RNA", at positions 335 to 796 of the family's 1533-position model. The record is from RNAcentral.